CCUACGUGAGGCAGCAGUGAGGAAUAUUGGUCAAUGGCCGGAAGGCUGAACCAGCCAAGCCGCGUGAAGGACGAAGGUGCCAAGCAUUGUAAACUUCUUGUGUCAAGGGACAAAAUCAGGCUCGAGAGCCUGACCGAGGGUACUGGAAGAAAAAGCAUCGGCGAACUCCGUGCCAGGAGCCGAGGGAAUACGGAGGAAGCGAGCGUUAUCCGGAUUUAUUGGGUGUAAAGGGUGCGUAGGCGGGCUGUUAAGUCAGCGGUAAAAUCCCGGGGCUCAACCCCGGCGAGCCGUUGAAACUGGCUGUCUUGAGAUGUCGAGAGGUAUGCGGAAUGCGCAGUGUAGCGGUGAAAUGCUUAGAUAUUGCGCAGAACUCCGAUUGCGAAGGCAGCAUACCGGCGGCGAUCUGACGCUGAGGCACGAAAGCGUGGGUAUCGAACAGGAUUAGAUACCCGGGUAGUC
Molecule: ribosomal RNA, 459 nt
Filed under: uncultured bacterium
Lineage: Bacteria
Description: partial 16S ribosomal RNA
Rfam family: Bacterial small subunit ribosomal RNA
Source: RNAcentral